UAGGGAAUCUUCGGCAAUGGGGGGAACCCUGACCGAGCAACGCCGCGUGAGUGAAGAAGGUUUUCGGAUCGUAAAGCUCUGUUGUUAAGGAAGAACGAGUGUGAGAAUGGAAAGUUCAUACUGUGACGGUACUUAACCAGAAAGGGACGGCUAACUACGUGCCAGCAGCCGCGGUAAUACGUAGGUCCCGAGCGUUGUCCGGAUUUAUUGGGCGUAAAGCGAGCGCAGGCGGUUAGAUAAGUCUGAAGUUAAAGGCAGUGGCUCAACCAUUGUAGGCUUUGGAAACUGUUUAACUUGAGUGCAGAAGGGGAGAGUGGAAUUCCAUGUGAAGCGGUGAAAUGCGUAGAUAUAUGGAGGAACACCGGUGGCGAAAGCGGCUCUCUGGUCUGUAACUGACGCUGAGGCUCGAAAGCGUGGGGAGCGAACAGG
Molecule: ribosomal RNA, 429 nt
Filed under: Bacteroidota bacterium
Lineage: Bacteria; Pseudomonadati; Bacteroidota
Description: Bacteroidetes bacterium partial 16S ribosomal RNA
Rfam family: Bacterial small subunit ribosomal RNA
Source: RNAcentral